This 226-nucleotide long non-coding RNA is filed under the name Homo sapiens (human). RNAcentral's name for it is "non-protein coding lnc-C14orf180-1:2". The record is from RNAcentral. Lineage: Eukaryota; Metazoa; Chordata; Mammalia; Primates; Hominidae.
CACACUCACAUCCUCCCAGGCAGUCACUCGCACAUGCAGUCACACAUUCACUCACAGGCAGUCACACUCUCAUGCACUCAGUCACACCCUCACAUGCACACUCAUGCACACUCAUAUCCUCCCAUGCAGUCACACACUCUCACAUGCAGUCACACCCUCUCGUGCACACUCAGUGACACCUUCACAUGCAGUCACACCUGCACUGUCACACCCACACAUGCACACU